Thalassophryne amazonica is the source of this 383-nucleotide long non-coding RNA. RefSeq lists it as uncharacterized. The transcript is spliced from 2 exons. NCBI's taxonomy places the organism in Eukaryota, Metazoa, Chordata, Actinopteri, Batrachoidiformes, Batrachoididae. The record is from RefSeq and is a predicted model, not a curated record.
CAAUUUUCUGCAUUUUAUGACACUUUGUGGCGCUUUGCGACACGUUGAGUCCUUUAUGGCAUAUCAGUACUGUUUCAAAACAGACCCACCUCACGUGAGGGCAUUGCGGGCACUUGAACAGUUGGUGGCGGCAAUGUACCAUAUUGGUUUGCAAACUGCUAAUAAAUUUGAACGAAGAAGACGAUAACAUGGCGCAUUCAAAGGAGAAGAGAUGUAAAUUGUACAUCUGAGAGUAAUAGUAAAGGUCAGGAGAAUGUCUGGCCCACUGGUCAUAGUAUUCUGACAAAUUUGGUCCCCAGAAAAAUAUAGUUGAAUAGCCCUGGUCUAGUGGUUUAACACUGGGCUUGAGACCAGAGGACCCUUGGUUCAAAUCCCAGUCUGAC